This 895-nucleotide long non-coding RNA is filed under the name Olea europaea subsp. europaea. The record is from RNAcentral. Lineage: Eukaryota; Viridiplantae; Streptophyta; Magnoliopsida; Lamiales; Oleaceae.
CCAGCUUUUAUCAGUUUUUAACAAUAUUACACAAGCUCUUAUUUUGAUGCAAACUGUAUUACUUUAAAAAAAUAGUUAGUCAAAGUUAAUAUGUUAUACAUACAAUCCUAACCUAUCACAUGAGCAUAUUCAGGGUACCAGAAUCUCUAUGCAUCGACAUUAAAUCUCUAAUGAUGUGUUAUAAUUUGGACUAAAUCUAAAACUACUUUGUUUAAAGUGGAACAACUUCAAUAUCAAUUUGUUGAAAAUCCGGCUAAAUAAUUUAAAGAACGAAAAAAUAUGGGCAAUAUGAAAAUAAUGGAUUCUACUCCAACAGUAUUUCUAAUCAAAAUACUUACUAGAAUUUGAGACACGAUCUAAUUCUAACAUUAUGCAAUUCUUCUAGAGCUCGAACAAUUGAAAGACGUAAAAGAACCUGAAUUAAAUGGGAACACAUGUUUCUCCAAAAAGGAUAGGGCAAUCUGGUGUUUCGACGCCUUGGUCCAUUCAAUCAAGUAUUAGUGGCAAAGUAGGCUUGGAGCUUAAUCUGCAACAAAUCACUAGUGGUAAGCACGCUGAAAGUUGGAACUGGUGAUUUUCUGUUAGCCACGAAUAAAAGUUGUUCAUCCUACCUCUGGAAAAGCUUAUUAUGGAGAAGCAAGCAGGAGGGAUUAAGGUGGCGAGAUGGAGAUGGGCAGUCUAAUCGAAUUUUCCAAAACCGGUAUAUUCCUCGCCCAACAUGUUUUUUACCCAUUACAAGUCGCUAUGAAAUGUUUAGUGUUGACAUGAGUUGAGCAAUUAAGGGAGAAAAUCUAGGAUAUUAUGGGAGGAGUAUGCACCACAAUCCCUUAAUUACAGAUUCCUUCAAUAGAUUAGGAAUUAUAAAAGUAAAUUUUAUAUUCUAUGUAUAGCGAAG